This 253-nucleotide ribosomal RNA is filed under the name uncultured bacterium. Its description in RNAcentral is "partial 16S ribosomal RNA". It matches the Rfam family "Bacterial small subunit ribosomal RNA", at positions 524 to 776 of the family's 1533-position model. The record is from RNAcentral.
UACAGAGGUCUCAAGCGUUGUUCGGAUUCAUUGGGCGUAAAGGGUGCGUAGGCGGCGCGGUAAGUCGGGUGUGAAAUCUCGGGGCUUAACUCCAAAACUGCAUUCGAUACUGCCGUGCUUGAGGACUGGAGAGGAGACUGGAAUUUACGGUGUAGCGGUGAAAUGCGUAGAUAUCGUAAGGAAGACCAGUGGCGAAGGCGGGUCUCUGGACAGUUCCUGACGCUGAGGCACGAAGGUCAGGGGAGCAAACGGG